UUGCUGGUAAACACACUCCUGUGAACUUCAGUGUGGCUCCCCGCACACGCCCAUGGCGGUGGGUGACCCUCCGCCGGUCUUCUCGAGGACCCAGGGAGCUGUUCAGUUAACGGACAGGCUGAGUUUUCACAGGGAAAAUUCCUUUCGUUUUCGGAACAUGAAGCACAUCGUUGGUCCACAGCCAGCUCAGGAAGCUCAGGCUUCCAGCUGAGCCGAGAAGCAUUUGAGGUGGCGCAGGAGAUGAGGAGCAUCUUCUAACUGCACCGUUGGUGAAUCGGGGUGUUUUUAAGAUUUACCUAUUGUUCAUAGAGAUGUAUUUCUCUCCCAUUCAAUAUGCUAUUCAACUUUCACAAUAAACCCAGGGGUUAUUUUACAUAUGGGGAAACUGUGGCUGACAUUUUUAGGACCAUUUUCUCUAAAGUAACGUCUUCUGGUUCUGAUCUACUUGAGAUUUUCAUUCUCUAGCAUUGCAAAAACACAGUAACUUAUUCUCUUGCUUGGGAAGUUAGUACCUCAGGGAGAAAAAUCACCUGUGUCUGGGUUCUUUAUAUUUAACCAGUGAAACAAAUUUGUAUGUAGUAGGUCAGUGUAAAAAAUGAAUGUCAGAUUGUUGCUUUUUUGGAACCCAUUAUACAAUGCUAAGUUUAUUUUGUUUGUUUUUGUUUUUUAACGAAUUUACUUUGUCUUAGAAAUGUUAAUAAGGCUAUAGACCACCAUUAAGAAGAAACAGUUUUGGGUAUUUGGAUAUGUGAACAGGCCCAAAUCCUAGGCCAGCAGGAGCUCCCUCCCGUCUUUCCUUCAAUAUUUUCAGAUGGAGAGGGGAAAAAAUGUUUUUGAGCAUCAGAUAUAAGGAGGAUGUCAUUUUCCGCCUCAGCUACAGGAAAGAUGACACUGAGAUGCCGCUGGCUGCCCUCAGGCUUGGUGCAGUUCAUAGUCUGUGCCCGGUGGCCUCGUCCCUGGGCUCAGGUUAGGGAAACAGAGGUCGCCCUCUGGUGGGGUCACGGGGCACAACCUGACCUCAGAUUGGCAGCAGAGCUGUGCCAGACAGAGCAGUAGAAAACAUGUAAGAGUGUGAGAGAAAUUUUCCUUUCCUAAACUCUUCCUCAGCCCACAAGCCAGUGUUAAAAGGAUCGAACUGAAAACUGGGAGACCUAGGUUUUAGUUCUGCCCUUUUCUGUCACUUUAGUGACAUUAUUUGAGCUUUCUGGGCCUCAAUAACCUCAUGAGCAGUAUGGAUAAAAGGUCAUCUGAUAGUUGCCCUCAACGUUCUGAGUUUGCGUCACAAACUUACGUACAUCCACAAAGCCUCAGCACUUCACAGUUUAAAGAUUUUUCCAUCCAUUAGCUCAUCGGAUUUUUCCAAACUCUGAAUGAAGAAGUGAAGGUGUGAAGGUAUUAAAAGUGAGUAUUUCAGUGCUAUAUUUAAUUGUGAGGUCAUAAUUACAUCUCGUCACUAACAUGUUAAGGCCUAUGUUUGAAGUCCUCUGCAGGAAUUAACUCAUUUAUCCUCAUAGCAAGCUUUUUUAUUUCCUUUAUCUUUUUUCCCUUUUAACCUUUUAUUUCGAUAUAAUUUCAGACUCACUGAAAAACUGCAUAAAUAACACAUCUGUCCAGAUUCCCCAAAUAUCAACACUUCCUGUGUUUGCUUCAUCCUCCCAAGCCCUUACUGCUCUCUAUGUUUUUCUCUGAAUUGUUGCAUACACCAUGCCCCUCUACCCCCAAUACUCAUUUCACUUCCCAAGAACGGGGACUUUCUCCUAUGUGACUGCAGUACCGUGAUCAUGAUUGGGAUAAUAGCAUCGACACAAGACCAUGAUUGUAUCUCAAAACUAUUACCUCAGAGUUAUUAAAAUUUCACCAAUUGUUCCACUGUUGUUCUCUAUAGCAAAAAAAUUAAAAAAUAAAAGCCAUUCUGUCCAGGAUCCAAUCCAGGCAGGAUCAUCUGAUAUA
Molecule: long non-coding RNA, 1950 nt
Organism: Galeopterus variegatus (Sunda flying lemur)
Lineage: Eukaryota; Metazoa; Chordata; Mammalia; Dermoptera; Cynocephalidae
Exons: 2
Source: RefSeq, a predicted model, not a curated record